This 58-nucleotide ribosomal RNA is filed under the name uncultured bacterium. Its description in RNAcentral is "partial 16S ribosomal RNA". The record is from RNAcentral.
GAGUACGGGCCCCACAUUGGGACUGAGACACGGCCCAAACUCCUACGGGAGGCAGCAG